UGUUCCUUCUGCAGUUUCUUCUCGUUAACUUGGCCUCUGGCGUUUGUGGACGAGGCGCCGGGUCUGCACGGUGCCCGCAAAUGCCACGCGACUAGACGGCACUUUGUGUGUGCGCUACAGUAUCCGUCAGUGGCUAUGUUACUUCAGGAGAUUGGGUAAAAAGCGGUUUAAUAACGAUGGUGACUUUGUUUCUAGGUGUCUCGGAGGCGUGAGCUGCGCAUUUCCCUCCUGAAACUCCGGGGAGAAUCCCCCUCCCCGCCGCCUCCCGCCGCCCGCGCCCCGUCAGCGUCGUGUGUUCCCGUCACUGGGAACGGCCUUUCGGAUCUCACAGAAGCAUGACUGAACCAAUGUUUAACUUUUACCCCUAAGAGAGGGCCAAUCCAGAAAGAACCUUUGACUUGGUAUUGAAAGUGAAAUGUCAUGGCUCUGAAAAUGAAGAUCCUGUGGUUUUGUGGAAAUUCCCAGAGGACUUUGGAGACCAGAUGCCAGAACGCUAGCGAGUCAGAACAUUGUGAUCAUCCUCUGUGGAAACAAGAAGGACCUGGAUGCAGAUCGCGAAGUUACGUUCAUAGAAGCCUCCAGAUUUGCUCAAGAAAA
Long non-coding RNA from Lemur catta (Ring-tailed lemur), 597 nucleotides. RefSeq lists it as uncharacterized. The transcript has 4 exons. NCBI's taxonomy places the organism in Eukaryota, Metazoa, Chordata, Mammalia, Primates, Lemuridae. The record is from RefSeq and is a predicted model, not a curated record.